GCACAGUUGUUCUGACAAGUGCAAGAUAGCCAGUGGGAAUGAGAUCUUUAAUCCACCGAAUGCACAUUGCGAGGAGAACGGCUCUGGGAUGAAGCUCUCUGGUCGCUACGAGGUUUCCUUGGCUUGAGAUAACGCUCUUGACUCACGUUGCGGCAGUAAGAGGUUAUGCUCGCUUGCUGGCUCUGAGAUUCUGCUCUGAAGGAUUGCCAUCUGGUGGCCUUGUGCUGGAAAGCCACCGCUACAGCCAGGGAUGGAGUGGCACUUUGCACCGCUCGGUUUACCUGUGCACAUCGCCGCUCCACGUCCCCUCUGGGGCAGGCACUGGUGCUGAACCCUGGCAGGACAGAAGCGCCUCUGCCAGCGCCAGGCCAGCCAGACUGGGGAGCGAAGCUGGAUGUUUCAAAGUGGCUUUUCAGUAAUGAGCGUACUUUUUAGAGCUGAUUCAUCCUUGCUCUGUGUGUGUGCACACGUAAGAGUUUGCAAAAUGGUAACUUGUUUUUUAAAACACUCUAAUAAACACACACAAAACUAAGUAUCACAAAAGCAAAAUAAUUAGUAAAAGUUGUAACAGUAGAAAUCAAAUGCCAAGCAGUCUCAUUAAAUCAACACUUAGAAAUUAAAGCUGAAUACAUUCAGAUUAGAAAUAAAGCUCUUCUUUUAUAGUGGCAGAUCUCAGGAGAUGAGUGAAUUCUCUGUUCCAUGAUGCCAUCCAAUCAAGACUGUGUAGAUGCUUUUCUGAAGAUGCUGUUUCACCCCCAAAUUACUAACCAGAGCGGUUCAAGGACACCUGGCUUCAACCAUCAGGAUGACUUUACGCAGAGGAACUGUGCAUGGACUGAGUUGGAGCGAAGUCUUCUAGAUUCUCUUUCUGGGACACACGAAGGCGAUUCAUGAACCUAUUACCGUCUGUGAUGAAGACCUAUCCUUGGAAAGUACGUGACGAGAACAAACCUUUGCUAUGCAAGGAACCAAAUAAAAGACUCGUAGUGACUUAGGGACAAAAGAAAGAAGAGACCAGGGAUUAGACAAGAUGCUUUCUGUAAUAGUCAUGAAAGAUUCAUCCCAGACUCAUUUCCCAUUCUCCUUUUCCCCCAUUUUAUAUGGUAAGCAACAAAGUCUGUAUAUAACACCAUGCUACUAUAAGCCUAUUGCACCUUAUGUAUUUUAAUAACUUCUUUGAGCAAAGGCAUGUGGACGUUGCUUCUAAUUUUAUUUGGCCCAGCUAGUGCACCUGUCCUUGGCUUGUCAAGGGACAAGGGAAGAAGCUCCAUGUAGAUGAGCAGAGAUCCUGCAGUGAAGGCCCUGGACUACGACACAAGACAUCUGUUUGUAUUUGGAGUGUUGCCCUGAAAAUCACUGUUUCCCUAGAUAAAUCUCAUCUCUCAUCUUUGCCUCCAUUUCCCCCCAUGUAAAAUGCGGAGAACGAUACUGUUGUAUGGUCCAGGGAUACUGUGACAGCAAAGCCAGUGGUACUGGUAGCGCACCCAAAUUAUACAGUGAUAUGCUCAAAGAAAAGCCAACCAUAAAGUGAAUGAAAGAUGAAUAAUACAGGCCAAUAUAAACCAUUUCUUGGAAGUGGUACAGCACAGUUUUAAUGACUCAUGGUCUCGUGCAGUGUAAAACAAUACCAUGGUUCCUGAUAGAACAAUAGCUUUGCGUUGCAUCAUGCAUCCAGCGCUCACAGACACAAGCACAAGAAAGACAGUUUUAUGUUCCGUACUUGCAUGCUUUGCAGCCUUCUGCCCCUUUGCUUCAUAAAGAUUUAGGUUUUUUUUUUUAUUCCAGCUUUGAGCAAAGCCAAUGUUUCUUCCUGAAGAUUAGUAAUUAGAUCCUGUGGCAGCACUUAGAUAUUUUAAUGAUAGGUCCUUUAAAAGCAUCUUGGAUUAGAUAGUCAGAUAGGAAUGCAUGAUAAUAAAUUGAGCAGACAAGGCCAUGUGCUGAGUUACUCGUUAUCGCUUCAAUCCAUUUUGAGCUGUGUGAACAUGCUGACAGUAAAAAAGGAAAAAAGUAAAGUGGGCUUCUUAAAAAUAAUCCUACUUUUUGC
Long non-coding RNA from Dromaius novaehollandiae (emu), 2044 nucleotides. RefSeq lists it as uncharacterized. The record is from RefSeq and is a predicted model, not a curated record. The transcript has 3 exons. NCBI's taxonomy places the organism in Eukaryota, Metazoa, Chordata, Aves, Casuariiformes, Dromaiidae.